Molecule: ribosomal RNA, 253 nt
Filed under: uncultured bacterium
Lineage: Bacteria
Description: partial 16S ribosomal RNA
Rfam family: Bacterial small subunit ribosomal RNA
Source: RNAcentral
UACAGAGGGUGCAAGCGUUAAUCGGAAUUACUGGGCGUAAAGCGCACGCAGGCGGUUGGUUAAGUCAGAUGUGAAAGCCCCGGGCUCAACCUGGGAAUUGCAUUUGAACCUGGCCAACUAGAGUACGUGAGAGGGGGGUAGAAUUCCAAGUGUAGCGGUGAAAUGCGUAGAGAUUUGGAGGAAUACCAGUGGCGAAGGCGGCCCCCUGGCACGAUACUGACGCUCAGGUGCGAAAGCGUGGGGAGCAAACAGG